This is a long non-coding RNA of Pipra filicauda (Wire-tailed manakin), 2280 nucleotides long. RefSeq lists it as uncharacterized. Lineage: Eukaryota; Metazoa; Chordata; Aves; Passeriformes; Pipridae. The record is from RefSeq and is a predicted model, not a curated record. The transcript is spliced from 7 exons.
AACAUCCCCACCAGCUCUGGGGUGCAGGGUUUGGGUCCAUCAGUCAAAACCAGGAUGGGCUGAAUCCUCUGGGACAAUGUUCUUGUCUUGGCUGUGUUUUCCCGGCUCAUGCCCUGACCCGGAGCCUGAUCUGAUCCCACUCCCUCCUCCUGUUUGUCUGUGAGGUCCAAGGAGGUGCCAGGGCUGAGCCAUGGCUGGGCUGCUCACUCCACACCCACCCUGGGCAGCUCAGGCUCCACCAUUCCCGGGAGCACCUCGGGACAUUCUCGGAUCAAAACCGAGCUGGUUUAGUUUUGAUUUUCUUUUCCUAGAUGGAAGUUAUUGACCCUUGGGGUAUUCCAAGUAUAUAAACUUAGUAUAAGUGAGGUAUAACUGACUUUUUCCCCUUUUUUUCUGAGAUUACAGGCUUUUGGAAACACAAGACCCCCUUGCAAGCCCAGCUGGGUUUGUGUUUCCCCACGUUCCCACCGGCUGGGGGGGGUCGGAUCCCGAGCUCAUCCCGCCUGCUCUUCCCCCAAAACACGGAGCCUCCCCAGGUUUCUUUGUGAAUCCCACAUCUAGGUGUCUCUUCCUGUGGUUGCUGCCAGGGAACAGACAGAUUUUCCACGGGAUGUGCUGGCCUGAAUCUUCUGGAGCCCAGGUGCCAUCAGUGCUGCUCUGCAAAUGAAGGUCCCCACCAUGGUCACCACAGCAGCACAGAAUGGCCUUGGAGCGAGGGAAUCAGGCGUGAGGAACGGGGAGUGACCACCCCAACACCCCACCCACGGGUCCCUGGGCAUGGAUGCCACCACCAGAACCAUCAGUGGAGACAGCUUUGCUCCUGCACAGUCGGACAUGGUCACCUGCCCAGCAGAGAGAGAAGUCUCGUCACCGGGGAGUUUUUAAAAAUAGCCCUGGAUGAAACAGAAGACGGGGGAUGAGGGACCAGGCCUGCCUUGGCUGGGAGGCAGCUCGGGCUAACAGGACUUUUCCAUCGGGCUGUUCCAUGAUUAAUCGAGACAAGAAAAGAAAAAGAAGAAGGAAAUUGAUAAACACAAUGGUAAUUCCAUCCAGGGCUUGCCUUAGUCAGGUUAUUAGAAUCCUGACAUCAUGUCUUGAAAAGAGGACUGGAAAUAAAUCUCUGGGAGAUAAGAUCUGCUGGCUGGGGGCGGGGAGGUGCACCAGGCUGAUGGGGCCAUCUUGGGGGUCCCCUCCCCAAAAAGCUGUUUCUCCCAGUUUUGCUGGGUCUCAAACCAGCAACAGGAACAUGUGGCUUCCAUGGAAACCUUACACCUUCUUCUGCCUGCGCUCCUCGGCUCGUCCUGCUAAAAUCACCCUCCACACCCCAACGAAAGCAUUCCUGAAGGAAUCUCCAGCUCCCUCGGAGGACAAGGAGGAUGAGAAGGACAAGGUCUGUGGACACUGGAUCCUGUCAUGGAGCAAGUCCUGACUGCCCUUCUCCAGGCUCGGGUACAAUCAGGUGUCCCAUUCCCUGUUCUCCAUCUCUCCAACCUCGUGGCUCCUUGGACACUGCCCAGGCUUGGAAGAAGCUCCCCAUGAGCAACCUGGUCCAGUAUCCCUGCCCAUGGCAGAGGGGUGGAAUGAGAGGAGCUUUAAGGUCCCUCCCAACCCAAACCAUUCCAGGAUUCAGCAAAAAUUCCUCUUUUUUCCUCCUGAAACCGGUUCUGCAAACUCCCAUGCCAGGAAAGCACCUCUCCAGGAGUCUCCAUCGUGGGGAGAGUGUGGGAAGAUCCACCUGCAGAGCCAGAGGGAUCCCAGCACUCCGAGGAUGUUCCCUCCCUCCAGCCCCAGGCUCAGCACAUUCUCCUCAGAAGCCAAGGGAACCCCAGCUUGCCCCUGGUGGAGGAGGAGCCAGUGGGAUGAAUCCUACCCCAAAGAGUUGGUGAGUUUAUUUUGGGAAGUGCCCAAUCACCCAGCUCUGCCCAAGGUCCCAACCUGGUCUGGGAUCCCCAGGGAUGUUUCUGCAUCAGACACACGAGCAGAGCCCCUUGACUGCAACGGCCUGGGCAGAACAUCCCGUCUCUCCUUGUCUGCAUUGCUCCAGAAGGCUCCAGGGAGACCUUAGAGCAACUUCCAGUGCCUAAGGGGGCUCCAGGAGAGCUGGAGAGGGACUUGAGACAAGGGUCUGGAGUGACAGGACAAGGGGGAAUUGCUUUUAACUGGAAGAGGGGGAAUUUAGGUUUGAUAUAUGGAAGAAACCCUUCCCUGUGGUGGUGGGGAGGCCCUGGCACAGGUUGCCCAGAGAAGCUGUGGCUGCCCCAUCCCUGCAAGUGUCCAAGG